AGUUAGGGUUAGGGCGAGAAUAAGGGUUAGGGUAAAAGUUAGGGUUAGGUUUAGAAUAAGGGUUAGGGUAAAUGUUAGGGUUAGGUUAAGAAUAAGGGUUAGGGUAAAAGUUAGGUUUAGGUUUAGAAUAAGGGUUAGGGUAAAAGUUAGGGUUAGGUUUAGAAUAAGGGUUAGGGUAAAAGUUAGGUUUAGGUUUAGAAUAAGGGUUAGGGUAAAUGUUAGGGUUCGGUUUAGAAUAAGGGUAAAAGUUAGGUUUAGGUUUAGAAUAAGGGUUAGGGUAAAUGUUAGGGUUAGGUUUAGAAUAAGGGUUAGGGUAAAAGUUAGGGUUAGGGCUAGAAUAAGGGUUAGGGUAAAAGUUAGGUUUAGGUUUAGAAUAAGGGUUAGGGUAAAAGUUAGGUUUAGGUUUAGAAUAAGGGUUAGGGUAAAAGUUAGGGUUAGGUUUAGAAUAAGGGUUAGGGUAAAAGUUAGGGUUAGGUUUAGAAUAAGGGUUAGGGUAAAAGUUAGGGUUAGGUUUAGAAUAAGGGUUAGGGUAAAUGUUAGGGUUAGCUUUAGAAUAAGGGUUAGGGUAAAAGUUAGUGUUAGCUUUAGAAUAAGGGUUAGGGUAAAAGUUAGGGUUAGGGCUAGGGUAAGUAGAUCGUUAGUUGAAAUGUUACCGAUAGUCUGUAGAUAGUUCAUCUAUAGAUGCUCCACAGAUGGACUAUCUACACAAAGUGUUACCCAGUAUAGCAAUAGAAACUUUUAGAGAACCAGGCCUCAUCCUGCCCAGUAUCAGACGGUCUUGAGAACUCGACUUUUCUCUGGAUUGUUUGACAUUCCAGGCGUGUGAGUGUUCCACUUUUUCCACGGCCGAGUACUGACUGUUACUGUGGGGUCAACAGAAGGUCAGCUCUCACUAAUUGUAAUUUAAAACAUGUGUAAAUAUUUGUUGUGUGCGCGUUCCCUGGAUAUUGUGUGUACAGUGUCCUAUGGAAUCCUGGGAAAGUUCAUGGAAUACUCCUCAUGUAAACAAUCAGCACCAGAGUGUGAAAUGACCGUUACCAUUGCAACAGAAAAGACUAUCGUAACCAUAGUGAUAGAACAGAGGGGUUAGACAGUUUGGGAUAUUAAACUUUGCCAGACCCUGUGAGGGUGAGAAGGAAUGGACAGGCAGACUGAUACUGAAUGUGAUUCAAAAAAGCUACUGUAGCAAGGUCUGGUACCCAGUAACACACAC
RNAcentral lists this long non-coding RNA (1213 nucleotides) under Salmo salar (Atlantic salmon). Its description in RNAcentral is "lncRNA (ENSSSAG00000118565.1)". Lineage: Eukaryota; Metazoa; Chordata; Actinopteri; Salmoniformes; Salmonidae. The record is from RNAcentral.